UAUAUUUUAGUGUAGGAUGCACAGUAAUUUUUGAUAUUACUAGAUAUAGUUUAAUUCUAUAAAGUAUAA
RNAcentral lists this transfer RNA (69 nucleotides) under Tecia solanivora (Guatemalan potato tuber moth). RNAcentral describes it as "tRNA-Gln". Lineage: Eukaryota; Metazoa; Arthropoda; Insecta; Lepidoptera; Gelechiidae. The record is from RNAcentral.